This 427-nucleotide ribosomal RNA is filed under the name uncultured bacterium. RNAcentral's name for it is "bacterial SSU rRNA". It matches the Rfam family "Bacterial small subunit ribosomal RNA", at positions 355 to 774 of the family's 1533-position model. The record is from RNAcentral.
UGGGGAAUUUUGGACAAUGGGCGCAAGCCUGAUCCAGCAAUGCCGCGUGCAGGAUGAAGGCCUUCGGGUUGUAAACUGCUUUUGUCAGGGAAGAAACGAGUUUCUCUAAUACAGAGACUUAAUGACGGUACCUGAAGAAUGAGCACCGGCUAACUACGUGCCAGCAGCCGCGGUAAUACGUAGGGUGCAAGCGUUAAUCGGAAUUACUGGGCGUAAAGCGUGCGCAGGCGGUUAUGCAAGACAGAUGUGAAAUCCCCGGGCUCAACCUGGGAACUGCCUUUGUGACUGCAUAGCUAGAGUACGGUAGAGGGGGAUGGAAUUCCGCGUGUAGCAGUGAAAUGCGUAGAUAUGCGGAGGAACACCGAUGGCGAAGGCAAUCCCCUGGACCUGUACUGACGCUCAUGCACGAAAGCGUGGGGAGCAAACA